GAUGAACGCUGGCGGCGUGCCUAAUACAUGCAAGUCGAGCGAACGGACGAGAAGCUUGCUUCUCUGAUGUUAGCGGCGGACGGGUGAGUAACACGUGGAUAACCUACCUAUAAGACUGGGAUAACUUCGGGAAACCGGAGCUAAUACCGGAUAAUAUUUUGAACCGCAUGGUUCAAUAGUGAAAGACGGUCUUGCUGUCACUUAUAGAUGGAUCCGCGCUGCAUUAGCUAGUUGGUAAGGUAACGGCUUACCAAGGCAACGAUGCAUAGCCGACCUGAGAGGGUGGUCGGCCACACUGGAACUGAGACACGGUCCAGACUCCUACGGGAGGCAGCAGUAGGGAAUCUUACGCAAUGGGCGAAAGCCUGACGGAGCAACGCGGCGUGAGUGAUGAAGGUGUUCGGAUCGUAAAGCUCUGUUAUGAGGGAAGAACAGAUGUGUAAGUAGAUGUGGAGAUAUUGACGGUACCUAAUCAGAAAGCCACGGCUAACUACGUG
Molecule: ribosomal RNA, 497 nt
Filed under: uncultured bacterium
Lineage: Bacteria
Description: partial 16S ribosomal RNA
Rfam family: Bacterial small subunit ribosomal RNA
Source: RNAcentral